This 464-nucleotide ribosomal RNA is filed under the name uncultured bacterium. RNAcentral's name for it is "partial 16S ribosomal RNA". It matches the Rfam family "Bacterial small subunit ribosomal RNA", at positions 28 to 507 of the family's 1533-position model. The record is from RNAcentral.
GACGAACGCUGGCGGCGUGCUUAACACAUGCAAGUCGAACGGAAAGGCCCUGCUUGCAGGGUCCUCGAGUGGCGAACGGGUGAGUAACACGUGGGUGAUCUGCCCUGCACUUCGGGAUAAGCCUGGGAAACUGGGUCUAAUACCGGAUAGGAGCCAUUUUUAGUGUGAUGGUUGGAAAGUUUUUUCGGUGUGGGAUGAGCUCGCGGCCUAUCAGCUUGUUGGUGGGGUAAUGGCCUACCAAGGCGGCGACGGGUAGCCGGCCUGAGAGGGUGGACGGCCACAUUGGGCCUGGGGAGGGCCCAGGACUCCAUCGGGGGGAAGAGGGGGGAAACUGUGGCAAAUGGGCCGAGGCCGUGGUGACGGCCCCCGGGUGGUGGAGGCCGGCCUUUGGGUUGAAAACUCCUUCCGCCGGGGACGAAGCUUUUUUGACGGUACCCAAAAAAAAAAGCACGGCUAACUUCGGG